Molecule: ribosomal RNA, 374 nt
Filed under: uncultured organism
Description: partial 16S ribosomal RNA
Rfam family: Bacterial small subunit ribosomal RNA
Source: RNAcentral
GGAGGGGUGCGAGCGUUAAUCGGAAUUACUGGGCGUAAAGCGCGCGUAGGCGGGCUUGGUCAGUCGGGAUGUGAAAGCCCCGGGGCUUAACCUGGGAAUUGCAUUCGAUACUGCCAGACUAGAGUAUGGGAGAGGGAAGCGGAAUUUCCGGUGUAGCGGUGAAAUGCGUAGAUAUCGGAAGGAACACCAGUGGCGAAGGCGGCUUCCUGGCCCAAUACUGACGCUGAGGUGCGAAAGCGUGGGGAGCGAACAGGAUUAGAUACCCUGGUAGUCCACGCCGUAAACGAUGAGAACUAGAUGUCGGGAGGAUUUGCCUCUCGGUGUCGCAGCUAACGCGUUAAGUUCUCCGCCUGGGGAGUACGCCGGCAACGGUA